Molecule: ribosomal RNA, 426 nt
Filed under: uncultured Actinomycetes bacterium
Lineage: Bacteria; Bacillati; Actinomycetota; Actinomycetes
Description: bacterial SSU rRNA
Rfam family: Bacterial small subunit ribosomal RNA
Source: RNAcentral
GCGGCCUAUCANCUUGUUGGUGAGGUAAUGGCUCACCAAGGCGACGACGGGUAGCCGGCCUGAGAGGGCGACCGGCCACACUGGGACUGAGACACGGCCCAGACUCCUACGGGAGGCAGCAGUGGGGAAUAUUGGGCAAUGGAGGAAACUCUGACCCAGCGACGCCGCGUGCGGGAUGAAGGCCUUCGGGUUGUAAACCGCUUUCAGUAGGGAAGAAGCGAAAGUGACGGUACCUACAGAAGAAGCACCGGCUAACUAUGUGCCAGCAGCCGCGGUAAUACGUAGGGUGCAAGCGUUGUCCGGAAUUAUUGGGCGUAAAGAGCUCGUAGGUGGUUUGAUACGUCGGGUGUGAAAUUCAGGGGCUCAACCCCUGACCUGCAUUCGAUACGGUCAAGCUAGAGUUUGGUAGGGGAGACUGGAAUUCCU